UACGUAGGGCGCGGGCGUUGUCCGGAAUUAUUGGGCGUAAAGAGCUCGUAGGCGGUCUGUCGCGUCGGAUGUGAAAGCCCGGGGCUUAACCCCGGGUCUGCAUUCGAUACGGGCAGACUGGAGUGUGGUAGGGGAGAUCGGAAUUCCUGGUGUAGCGGUGAAAUGCGCAGAUAUCAGGAGGAACACCGGUGGCGAAGGCGGGUCUCUGGGCCGAUACUGACGCUGAGGAGCGAAAGCGUGGGGAGCGACAGG
Molecule: unclassified non-coding RNA, 252 nt
Filed under: uncultured Actinomycetes bacterium
Lineage: Bacteria; Bacillati; Actinomycetota; Actinomycetes
Description: uncultured actinobacterium contains 16S-23S intergenic spacer region
Rfam family: Bacterial small subunit ribosomal RNA
Source: RNAcentral